Molecule: ribosomal RNA, 385 nt
Filed under: uncultured soil bacterium
Lineage: Bacteria
Description: bacterial SSU rRNA
Rfam family: Bacterial small subunit ribosomal RNA
Source: RNAcentral
CCUACCCUACCUUUCCCAGCCAAGGAAUUUCCCGGAAAGGAAUGGGUCCCUCAAAGAAAGCGAAACAACAGGUGCUUGAUGGUUGUCGGCAGGUGGCGUGGGGAGUUGGGGGGUGAAUUCCCACAAGCACCGCCCCCCUCCUUUGUAGUUAGCACAUUCAGUUGGGCACUUUAAGGAGACUGCCGGUGACAAACCGGAGGAAGGUGGGGAUGACGUCAAGUCCUCAUGGCCCUUAUGGGUAGGGCUACACACGUCAUACAAUGGCCGGUACAGAGGGUUGCCAACCCGCGAGGGGGAGCUAAUCCCAGAAAACCGGUCGUAGUCCGGAUUGCAGUCUGCAACUCGACUGCAUGAAGUCGGAAUCGCUAGUAAUCGCGGCUCAGCA